GCAGGGGUAGAUUAGUGGUAGAGUGCAUGCCUGGCAUGCAUGAGACCCAGGGUUCUAUCCCCCGCGCUCACA
This 72-nucleotide transfer RNA is filed under the name Ictidomys tridecemlineatus (thirteen-lined ground squirrel). Its description in RNAcentral is "Spermophilus tridecemlineatus (thirteen-lined ground squirrel) tRNA". It matches the Rfam family "tRNA". Rfam says of the family: Transfer RNA (tRNA) molecules are approximately 80 nucleotides in length. Their secondary structure includes four short double-helical elements and three loops (D, anti-codon, and T loops). Further hydrogen bonds mediate the characteristic L-shaped molecular structure. tRNAs have two regions of fundamental functional importance: the anti-codon, which is responsible for specific mRNA codon recognition, and the 3' end, to which the tRNAs corresponding amino acid is attached (by aminoacyl-tRNA synthetases). tRNAs cope with the degeneracy of the genetic code in two manners: having more than one tRNA (with a specific anti-codon) for a particular amino acid; and 'wobble' base-pairing, i.e. permitting non-standard base-pairing at the 3rd anti-codon position. The record is from Rfam by way of RNAcentral. Lineage: Eukaryota; Metazoa; Chordata; Mammalia; Rodentia; Sciuridae.